Molecule: ribosomal RNA, 3253 nt
Filed under: Triticum aestivum (bread wheat)
Lineage: Eukaryota; Viridiplantae; Streptophyta; Magnoliopsida; Poales; Poaceae
Description: partial small subunit ribosomal RNA
Source: RNAcentral
CCGCCGCCACCCUGUCGCCGGCCCCGUCGCUCUCCCACCCUGUCGCCGGCCGCGUCGCUCCCCCGCCCCGUCGCCGGCCCUCCCCGGCCCCGUCGUCAUCCCUCCCCCGCCCUGUCGCCGGCCCUCUCCCGCCCCGUCACCGGCCCUCCCCCUCGUCCACGACCCUCCCCGUCGAGGUCCAGGUCCGUGACGGAUCCGCCUACGCCGGCGUCUUCCACACCGCCUCCCUCGACGCCGGAUACGGUGUGCGCCCCCUCUCCUCCCUCUCUACCGUAGAUUUCCUUUGGUCUGGUUCGGGGUUGGUGUCGGGCCCUGGGAUCACGCGAAUGGCGCUCGGGCCGUGAUCCGGCUGCUGGGUGGAGAUGGUGGAUGCCGCGUGCCUAGUGCCUAGUGACGCGACCUGGUUCAUCUAUGUUUUUUUCCUGGGAUAAUGGGUUGUGAUCUGCUUGUUCAUCGACAGGCCCCGGUCGCCGGGAUGCCGCGUUUUGUUAGUAUUUCUUGCUGGGGCUACAGCCGAGGGAGAUGCAUAGUGGACGGCGGCAGAGCGGGUCGGCAGAAGCGUGGUCGGAGGCGGGGUGGUGGUGUGAUGGCUGGGCGGCGCGUGCAUGUGUUGCCGUGUUGGGGCUGUGGUGGCUUGUGUGUGGUCUCUGCUAGGGAAUGAGAUAUUUAAAGUGAGAUGAUUAAGAGGUCCGGCGCCUUGAGCUCGCACCCGGCCGUCCCGCGCCGCUAGAUCCCUCCGGGUAGCGGCUUCUAGUUGCCUGGCACCGCCCGCUCCUCGACCUCGCGCCCGUUCAGGGGCGCCUCGUGUCGUCGGGUGUUGAGAGCUGCAAGUACCUUAAAUAUGUCACCACAACCCUUCUCUGUUUCAUCCUCAUACUACAUCAUCAUACGCCGCCGUUGACUUUGUGCCGAACCCCCGGUUGGCAGGAAAUGAUUGAACUCGUGAUGCUCUUUCUUCCAGCGAUUUCGUUUGCAGCCUGUAGGUGAAUUUGUGUCUAUGCUCCGUGGUGUCGAGCUGUAAAUCUUCCGAUGUUAUUUUGUGCCAUAUGGGCAAACACUAAGUUCUGAGGAAGAGAUGUCAUAUGUGUACCAUAUGGACAAACACUCUACAUUCUAAAGGACGGGCAGAAGGUGCAUCCCCUGGAUUGUCUUACUUAACCUGGCAACAAAGAGAGGAGGUUGCAAAUAAGAACGAAGGGGAAUACAUGUCUGCAUUUUUCCUGACUGAGGUAUCAAGGAAAUUAAAUUUUUUGGAGGAAGUGCUUUCUUCAAUAUCAGAUUGCUAUAAAGGAUGAGAUGCUCCACACAUUUUGAGAGUUGAGAGGUUAGUUUCUAGCAGAGUUAGUGACGGAACUGAAAACUGUUUCAGCCGAGGUUGAGGAUAAAUCUUAUGCUACCACAUGUUUAGAGAUUGUGAUAAGAACCAAAAUAUCAAGGUUUAAAAAGUGGAUGCUUCGAGUAUGAUAGAUCCUAUGUUUCUGUGUUAAUCUAUUUCAAAUAUCUUUAAUCAGAGUCAAAGCAUGACAUGUUAUGUCUUGGAUCAUGAGUGAAGUCCAAUGUUGACAUACAUUUAGUGUUUGCUGAUGGUUCUAGGUAGAACUGAAUUAGGCUAAUCAAAGAAGCAGAAUUAAGUCAAUUAGUUUGUUACUUCCUUAAACCUUCUGAAUUGCUUCUUCUUUUCGCACGGUGCCACUGAGUAAGGUAUUGUUGUUGGUGGAGUGUGCACUCUUUUCAAAUUGGCUGCUAAAAGUUGAUGUGUCCAGGAUACCCUGGUUGCAUAAGGUAAAAUAAACGAAUGGCAUUGCCCUAAUACUCGCAGCCAACAUGGUCCACCACAUGUGGGUCACAAACAAUCAUGUUGAACCAUUGAGCAUUUUAAUAUUUCCAUUCAAAUUGAUUGCGAAGAAUGUUGGUGUCAAUGGCAGCAUUGUUACCGAGAAGGUUUGAUCUCAUUUACUAAUAUGAAGUUGAUAUAUUUCUGCAUAGAUCUAAAUAACAUAAAAGAAGAUGUCGUACCAGGUCCUUUCUAGCUGCAAGCAUGCAAUCCUUCUGUUCGGUAGUACGAGGACUUAAUGGCUGCUGGUAUCAUCGACCACAAUAAAGUUUAUAGCCACGUAGCUACCCAACACACUUGCUUGCUUGCCAUUCUGAAAUGGAUACAAUUGCGUAGUUAGGGUGAUGAUGCAACUUGUGGGAUCAUUUAUUCUACCUUUUUUAAUUGGGGCUGCAUUAUAUAUUUUAUAGGUAGAACAACCAUUUUUCUUUUGGGAGAUUUAGUCUUACUAAUUUGGAAUAAAAGUGUCCAGAUCUAAUCUUAUUAUCACCUUGCAUUUUAUCCAAUGUAUAUUUGGGAUGCCCCAUGUCUAUUUACAUCAUUGCUAUCUUUUGCCACUUUAUCCAAUGUAUGAAUUAUCUUAUCUUUGGUCCACUUUGCAAUUUUAAAUGAUGUAUAAUCUGGAAAAAAUGCUCUCCGCUCUGUGGGCUCAAGUGAGCUUAAGCUGAUCGUCCACUUGCAUCUGAUGGUAACAGGGUAAGAUGUAUGCAUAACUUCAAUUCUUCUCUUGCAUCUGCUCGGAACUUACAUAUUGGUUGUGUGUAAAUUCAUAUCAGAAAUCAUUUUGCAUAAAAACAUUGGUUAUCGAGGCCAGACACUGAUUCUUCAUCUGGUUGUUGGAUCACAGUGAUGUCUCACUUUUUAAAAUACAAUUUGAACGACAUGCUAUUUUGUAUCCAGUUUUGGCGGCGGUGGUGCUGCUGCUCCUAUGAUGGUAGACUCGUCUGAUUCCCCUAGCUGCAUCCAUGGUGACGAAGCUCGACCUAGGCUAGAACCCCCUCCAGUGAGCUCCUCAAGUCCUCUUAUACCCCUCCUACUUGCUUGUUGGUUCUAUGCUCUGCCUUUGUGAGGUGUAAUUGUUCAAUUUUGUUCAUAGUCGAGCAUUGGAUGAUAUUGUAUUUGUCAUGAUGUACAUGGUUCAUGAACUAUGCCAACCUUCAUCUUUGUUGUACUAGUCAUAGUAGGAUAAUGCAAGUUUUGACAAUCCAUGCAUAUUUCUGCAUCAUAAUAAUCUUCUUCUUCUAGUCUUCUUCUUCUAACUUUCUUCUUUCCCAUUUUACGGAUUUGCUUAAGAUCACGGAAGCUUGGGUUGAUGGAGUGCUUGUAUUUAGUUUUUGUUUUGACCUUGUGAAACUUGCUACCUAUGGAUGAAACUGUGUAAUAUUGAUGAAACUAUGUAUAUGUACGGAUGAAACUUGC